RNAcentral lists this non-coding RNA (21 nucleotides) under Caenorhabditis elegans. Lineage: Eukaryota; Metazoa; Nematoda; Chromadorea; Rhabditida; Rhabditidae. The record is from RNAcentral.
UGACAAAUUCUAUUACAAAAU